GAAAUGCGAUAAGUAGUGUGAAUUGCAGAAUUCAAUGAAUCAUCGAAUCUUUGAACGCACAUUGCGCCCCUUGGUAUUCCAUGGGGCAUGCCUGUUCGAGCGUCAUUUGUACCCUCAAGCUCUGCUUGGUGUUGGGUGUUUGUCCCGUCUCCGCGCGUGGACUCGCCCCAAAGUGAUUGGCAGCCGGCGUACUGGUCCCGGAGCGCAGCACAUGUCGCGCAAACGAGUGCCUUGGUACGGCGGCGUCCAUAAGCCCCUCUCUCACGCUCUUGACCUCGGAUCAGGUAGGGAUACCCGCUGAACUUAAGC
Molecule: unclassified non-coding RNA, 309 nt
Filed under: plant metagenome
Description: partial contains 5.8S ribosomal RNA, internal transcribed spacer 2, and large subunit ribosomal RNA
Rfam family: 5.8S ribosomal RNA (bases 1-105)
Source: RNAcentral